AACAAACGCUGGCGGCGUGCCUAACACAUGCAAGUCGUACGAGAAAGUCCGCUUCGGUGGAUAAGUAAAGUGGCGCACGGGUGAGUAACGCGUGGAUAAUCUACCCUUAAGUCGGGAAUAACUUAUCGAAAGGUGAAUUAAUACCUGAUAACACUGCAUAACUACUGUUGUGUAGUCAAAGAAGGCCUCUGCUUGCAAGCUUUCGCUGAAGGAUGAGUCCGCGUACCAUUAGCUAGUUGGUAGGGUAAUGGCCUACCAAGGUUAUGAUGGUUAGCUGGUCUGAGAGGAUGAUCAGCCACACUGGAACUGAAACACGGUCCAGACUCCUACGGGUGGCAG
RNAcentral lists this ribosomal RNA (339 nucleotides) under uncultured Pseudomonadota bacterium. RNAcentral describes it as "bacterial SSU rRNA". It matches the Rfam family "Bacterial small subunit ribosomal RNA", at positions 29 to 351 of the family's 1533-position model. The record is from RNAcentral. Lineage: Bacteria; Pseudomonadati; Pseudomonadota.